UACGGAGGGUGCAAGCGUUAAUCGGAAUCACUGGGCGUAAGGCGUGCGUAGGCGGUUUGGUAAGUCAGAUGUGAAAGCCCGGGGCUUAACCCCGGAAGUGCAUUUUAAACUAAGAGACUUGAGUAUGGGAGAGGGGAGUGGAAUUCCUCGUGUAGCGGUGAAAUGCGUAGAUAUCAGGAGGAACACCGGUGGCGAAGGCGACUCCCUGGACUGACACUGACGCUGAUGCGCGAAGGCGUGGGGAGCAAACAGG
RNAcentral lists this ribosomal RNA (253 nucleotides) under uncultured bacterium. RNAcentral's name for it is "partial 16S ribosomal RNA". It matches the Rfam family "Bacterial small subunit ribosomal RNA", at positions 524 to 776 of the family's 1533-position model. The record is from RNAcentral.